Molecule: ribosomal RNA, 460 nt
Filed under: uncultured bacterium
Lineage: Bacteria
Description: partial 16S ribosomal RNA
Rfam family: Bacterial small subunit ribosomal RNA
Source: RNAcentral
CCUACGGGUGGCAGCAGUGAGGAAUAUUGGUCAAUGGCCGUAAGGCUGAACCAGCCAAGUCGCGUGAAGGAUGACGGCUCUAUGGGUUGUAAACUUCUUUUAUAAGGGAAUAACACUAGCCACGUGUGCCUUUUUGCAUGUACUCUAUGAAUAAGCAUCGGCUAACUCCGUGCCAGCCGCCGCGGUAAUACGGAGGAUGCGGGCGUUAUCCGGAUUUAUUGGGUUUAAAGGGAGCGUAGAUGGUUUGUUAAGUCAGUUGUGAAAGUUUGCGGCUCAACCCUAAAAUUGCAAUUGAUACUGGAAGUCUUGAGUACGGUUGAGGUAGGCGGAAUGCGUGGUGUAGCGGUGAAAUGCAUAGAUAUCACGAAGAACCCCGAUUGCGAAGGCAGCUUACUAAGCUGUGACUGACACUGAUGCACGAAAGUGUGGGUAUCAAACAGGAUUAGAUACCCCAGUAGUC